Molecule: long non-coding RNA, 594 nt
Organism: Osmerus eperlanus (European smelt)
Lineage: Eukaryota; Metazoa; Chordata; Actinopteri; Osmeriformes; Osmeridae
Exons: 3
Source: RefSeq, a predicted model, not a curated record
CCAAAAAAAACAGUUUCGCUAUUUUACCAUCCGGAUUUGUGUCGUAAGGUAAGAAAAGACACAUUCUAAAGUGCCUUAACCGUAAAAUGCGGCGGCUGUAUCUGGUAACCACCAGCGUUGUUUCGAGCGAUCCCCUCUGCCCUGUGUAGCCUGAGCUACAUGAAGUCCACUUGGGAGAAUACACGGGAGGCCAACGGUAAACUGACAAUGGGAUAUUAAAGUACUUUACACAGGCUUGCUUUGCUGUGUGUCGUUCGACAGUCUCCCAGCUCAGAUGCCAUUCGCUGAUGUUCCGGCUGGCACAGAAACCCACUGCUGGUUUGCACACCAUGGAGGACCAGAGGAAGUCUGCCCAGGCAGGCUCCACACAUGCUUUGAUGCUGCUCUUCUAUGAAAAGGCAGUCUGAGUCUGACGGUUUGGGCCACAGACUAAUCUAAUGUGGUUGCUGGCAAUGGUGACAUCAGCAAUGAAAUGAGAGACCAAAGCAAGUGUGCUGAAAGCUGGAGCAGCAAGCUGGGAGGCCUCUGGAGGGCCUGGGACAACUGACUUAGUCACGGAGCAGAAGAGAACAGUGCUGUGACCACCACCACCAC